AUAAUUUAAGAGAAAUUUACAGAUAUAUCGCUGGAAAAUGGCCAGCAGUCUCUACCGCGCCCCAAAAGUCGUGACUAUCCGUGAAUGCGAAUCAAGG
Molecule: non-coding RNA, 97 nt
Filed under: Fructobacillus sp.
Lineage: Bacteria; Bacillati; Bacillota; Bacilli; Lactobacillales; Lactobacillaceae
Description: Guanine sequence
Rfam family: Purine riboswitch aptamer
About the family: Riboswitches are metabolite binding domains within certain messenger RNAs that serve as precision sensors for their corresponding targets. Allosteric rearrangement of mRNA structure is mediated by ligand binding, and this results in modulation of gene expression.
Source: RNAcentral